RNAcentral lists this ribosomal RNA (466 nucleotides) under uncultured bacterium. RNAcentral's name for it is "partial 16S ribosomal RNA". It matches the Rfam family "Bacterial small subunit ribosomal RNA", at positions 28 to 507 of the family's 1533-position model. The record is from RNAcentral.
GCUGAACGCUGGCGGAGUGCUUAACCUAUGCCCGUCGAAAGCAGCAGUCCAGCUUGCUGGGUGGAAUAGUGGCGAACGGGUCAGUAACACGUGAGUACUCUGACCCAAACCUUGGGAUAAGCCUGGGCAACUGGGUCUAAUAACGGCUAGCAGCGUACCCCGCAUGGCGGGUGUUGGAAAGAUUUAUCGGUUUUGGCUGGACUCGCGGCCUAUCAGCUUGUUGGUGAGGUAAUGGCUCACCAAGGCGACGACGGGUAGCCGGCCUGAGAGGGUGACCGGCCACACUGGGACUGAGACACCGCCCAGACUCCUACGGGAGGCAGCGGUGGAGAGUAUUGCACUAGGGGCGCAAGCCUGUAGAAGCAACGCGGCGGGUGGUAUGACGGCCUUCAAGUUGUAAACCUCUUUCAGUUUAGAAGAUGCUAGAGAGACGGUACCAGCAGAAGAAGCACCGGCUGACUACAUU